This 253-nucleotide unclassified non-coding RNA is filed under the name plant metagenome. RNAcentral's name for it is "partial contains small subunit ribosomal RNA, internal transcribed spacer 1, and 5.8S ribosomal RNA". The stretch from base 205 to 253 matches the Rfam family "5.8S ribosomal RNA", at positions 1 to 49 of the family's 154-position model. The record is from RNAcentral.
UCUCCGUUGGUGAACCAGCGGAGGGAUCAUUACCGAGUUUUUCUACUCCCAAACCCCUGUGAUCUCAUACCUGUACUGUUGCUGCGGCGGGUUAACGCCCCGGAAGGCCCAAAAAGCCGCCGAAACCAGGCGCCCGCCGGGGUACCCAAACUCUUGUUCUUCUUACUUUACAUGUCUGAGUGGAAUCAUAAACAAAUGAAUCAAAACUUUCGACAACGGAUCUCUUGGUUCUGACAUCGAUGAAGAACGCGGC